UUGCCUGGCACUGUGCUUCAUCCACUGUUAUCCAAGUUGCAGGUGGUUUCCUCCUCCAACUUGAGGGGGGGUGUUGAGAUGAAAGCCUAUAAAUGAUUGUACACAUUAUAUAUACAUUGUAUCUGGUAUACAAUGUAUUGGGCUGUGAUAAUUGUUGUUUGGGUUGUAUAUAUCUGAGCCCGUUUUCAUUUUGUUAUUGGGCCGUCUGACCCGACCCAAUAGUAGUUGUAUAAAGGUCAUUUGUACAGAUAUUUUGGUUAAGGAUUUUCAUUUGCUUCUCGGGUUUCCUCCAGAAGCUUCUCAUCUCUCUCUCUACUUCUCACUGUUCAUCUUCAUCUUCUCUGGUUUUCUUCUCCAAAUCUCCAUGUUUUCAUGGUAUCAGAGCGGGAAAAUCUUCCGAUCCUUCCCUGUUAUGUGUUAUCGAUGCUUUGAUGAUGC
This 438-nucleotide long non-coding RNA is filed under the name Nicotiana benthamiana. Its description in RNAcentral is "long non-coding RNA (NBEN_LNC040744)". Lineage: Eukaryota; Viridiplantae; Streptophyta; Magnoliopsida; Solanales; Solanaceae. The record is from RNAcentral.